AGCCGGGACAUACGCAACAGAAAUUUGUGAACCCCGUCAGGUCCGGAAGGAAGCAGCGGUAAGCGAAGCCCUCUGUGUGCCGUAUUCAUCCCGGAGGUA
RNAcentral lists this signal recognition particle RNA (99 nucleotides) under Clostridiales bacterium. RNAcentral's name for it is "signal recognition particle sRNA small type". It matches the Rfam family "Bacterial small signal recognition particle RNA". From Rfam's summary of the family: The signal recognition particle (SRP) is a universally conserved ribonucleoprotein involved in the co-translational targeting of proteins to membranes. Archaeal SRP consists of a 7S RNA and homologues of the eukaryotic SRP19 and SRP54 proteins. Lineage: Bacteria; Bacillati; Bacillota; Clostridia; Eubacteriales. The record is from RNAcentral.